GGGUAAUUAGCUCAGUUGGCAGAGCAGCUGACUCUUAAUCAGCGGGUCGGGGGUUCAAGCCCCUCAUUACCCA
Molecule: transfer RNA, 73 nt
Filed under: Trichococcus pasteurii
Lineage: Bacteria; Bacillati; Bacillota; Bacilli; Lactobacillales; Carnobacteriaceae
Also listed under: 1 other name
Description: tRNA_Lys_CTT
Rfam family: tRNA
About the family: Transfer RNA (tRNA) molecules are approximately 80 nucleotides in length. Their secondary structure includes four short double-helical elements and three loops (D, anti-codon, and T loops).
Source: RNAcentral